AUGUUACCUUCGACGACUAAGGAUUUAUUUAGAUUACAAACCAUUCCCAAGGGGCAAAUCUGCUCUGAAACAAGGAAGGGGACAUCUAGAAAGCAAUCAAUGGCAAGCUCUCUCCCCUGCUGCUUCAUUCUCUCUGCCCAGUUCCAGAGUGAUCUCCAGCCCAGGAGGGGAAAGCUGUUGCUGCCUCCGAAGCAGAAGGGUACAAAGUCCAGCCCCAGCCUUGCCCGAUUUGCCCCGCCUGCUCAUGCAGGGACAUUAAUAGGUAAUGACUCUUGUGACGAGGAAGAGCAGGGCGUGGAAGCGGGCCUGAGGCCCUUUGGAGUCCAUAGGAUGGGAGGAAGAGGAACAAGGGCUAACCCAGGGGCUGAGUCAGACCCCAGAGAUAAUUCUCUCAAAGAGGCAAACAGAAGUACCCCAUUGGGAGAAGACAAAAGAAGACCCCCUUAUUUUCUGCCCUGGGGCUGUGUUGGUGAACGCUGUCUCAGACUCCCCUUGUUGUUCGCCAGCCCUUAACCUCCUGCUUGAACUUCCGGUUAUCUCUCCACCCUGGGAGCCCAAGACCUCAUUUUCAGAAGACUUCCGCCAGUAAGAACUGCCCCCUUUGUGUCCCCGCCAAACCUUGAGCCUGACACUCAGCACCCAGCUGUGGGUAGUUAUUAGUGUAGGGACUGCCUCCCACCCGCAUGACCAGCAAUUUGAGGGCACAGACUAAGUCUGGCACAGAGUGAGCAUUUCUUUAAUGGACAAAUGACCACCAGCCUCUAGCCCCAAGCCCCUGGCCCUUAGUCCCUGUGGCCUCCAUACUGCCUGGCUCCUUGGGCUCCUCUCGGCCUCUCUGUGGCUAGAGAGAGGCUAAGCACCCUGGCCUUGACUUCCUGAGCUCUGCCCCCUCGGACCUGGGAAGGGUGUUGGCUUGGUCUAAAGACACUGCCCCUCUGUGAGGGCCUCUAGCCACACAGUCACCUGUCCCUCAGGCAGGGCCUGUGGGCAGCUCCAGAUACCCCUGGCUUCUCUCUUGGGCUCUGAGGCCUCCUCAGGCCUGGCAGGGAGGUCUGCUGGGCAUCUUCAGAUGGUGCUCUUUGGCCUCAGGGCCUCGGUGACUCCAGUAUAGCUCUGAAAACAGUUCUCAAAAGCCGAGGUGAAAUCCAGUAACUUUCAGUGAUGGUCUCUGGGGAUUUAGGACCACCAAUGAGGCCCCUCACUGGGACACACUGGGGCUGGGGAGGGCCUGAAGGAUCUAGCUGACUCCUGGAUCCUCCUCCCUUCCUCUCACUGCCCCCUGGCCAGCACAGUUCCUCAGCUGCUUCUGGGGCUCUAAGAAAUGCCCUGAAGUGGGGAGAGGGCUGCCUGAAGUGCCUCCAACUCGCAUUUUGAGGUCAGAGGACACACAGAGAGAGACAUCCAGUUCCCUUCCUAUCAACACACCUCUCAGACACUGCCCCAGACCCCUCCUACACAAUGCAACAGCCCAGAGCUGGGGGACACCAGGAGGGAGAGGGGUGUGCCCUCUUUG
Molecule: long non-coding RNA, 1513 nt
Filed under: Sus scrofa (pig)
Lineage: Eukaryota; Metazoa; Chordata; Mammalia; Artiodactyla; Suidae
Description: lncRNA (ENSSSCG00050001559.1)
Source: RNAcentral